GAGUUUGAUCGUGGCUCAGGACGAACGCUGGCGGCGUGCUUAACACAUGCAAGUCGAACGAGAAUCUACUGAAAGAGUUUUCGGACAAUGGAAGUAGAGGAAAGUGGCGGACGGGUGAGUAACGCGUGAGGAACCUGCCUUGAAGAGGGGACAACAGUUGGAAACGACUGCUAAUACCGCAUGAUGCAUAAGGGUCGCAUGAUUCUUAUGCCAAAGAUUUAUCGCUUCAAGAUGGCCUCGCGUCUGAUUAGCUAGUUGGCGGGGUAACGGCCCACCAAGGCGACGAUCAGUAGCCGGACUGAGAGGUUGAACGGCCACAUUGGGACUGAGAUACGGCCCAGACUCCUACGGGAGGCAGCAGUGGGGAAUAUUGGGCAAUGGGCGCAAGCCUGACCCAGCAACGCCGCGUGAAGGAAGAAGGCUUUCGGUAUGUAAACUUCUAUCAGCAGGGAAGAAAAUAGACGGUACCUGACUAAGAAGCCCGGCUAACUACGUGCCAGCCGCCGCAGUAAU
Molecule: ribosomal RNA, 513 nt
Filed under: uncultured microorganism
Description: bacterial SSU rRNA
Rfam family: Bacterial small subunit ribosomal RNA
Source: RNAcentral